CAACUACUCCCUCUGUCCCAAAUUUCUUGUCAUAGAUUUGUCUAGAUAUGGAUGUAUCUAAUACUAAAAUGUGACUUGAUACAUCUAUAUCUAGACAAAUCUAAGACAAGAAUUUUGGUACAGAGGGAGUACUUU
Molecule: non-coding RNA, 135 nt
Organism: Triticum aestivum (bread wheat)
Lineage: Eukaryota; Viridiplantae; Streptophyta; Magnoliopsida; Poales; Poaceae
Source: Rfam